RNAcentral lists this transfer RNA (74 nucleotides) under Bacteroidota bacterium. RNAcentral's name for it is "tRNA-Arg". It matches the Rfam family "tRNA". Rfam says of the family: Transfer RNA (tRNA) molecules are approximately 80 nucleotides in length. Their secondary structure includes four short double-helical elements and three loops (D, anti-codon, and T loops). The record is from RNAcentral. Lineage: Bacteria; Pseudomonadati; Bacteroidota.
GGCUUCGUAGUUCAAUUGGAUAGAAUGUCAGAUUCCGGAUCUGAAGGUUGGGAGUUCGAGUCUCCCCGAGGUCA